CCUCUUUCCAGGGUUUGCUUCCUGUGCGUCGCUCAGUUUUGAGCCACCUUUUGUUUCAGUCAAUAAAGUGUGUGUUCAGUCAAAUAAAUUUUGUUUUUGUGUCAUUACCGUUUUGAUUACGAAAACAUCCGUUAUUUUGAUAAGAAUAUUUGCAUUUUUGAAACAUAGAGAUCCCUUUCGAUGCAUGCUUAUGAGAUUGAAAUCUGGAAAUCUUAUUCGAAAGUUUGAGUGACCUAAGUGUUGAAAUAUUGGAACGCCUGGGGCACGCUUUUAUCUGACGAUCUCUUGUGCAGGUACUGUUAGAUAUCUUCAUUCACUUGCCGGUGGUAAUGUGAACCCUUUUGACAAGAGAUCCCUGCAGAACCUGAUCAGGGGCAAGGGAUAGAUGAACGGUGAAAAGACGGUGAAGGAUUACGACGGCGAUCCUGGAAGGAUAAUCAAGAAGACUCUUCAAAGUCUGAUGAUUGGAAAGUAUGUGUGAAUCCCAGGAGUUCGAUCUCCGUGGAGUACGAAGGAGUUGGGAAUACAAGAUGAUGGAGCAGAAAAGUCCAGAUGAGUCUGGGAGAUUAUUAAAAGUGGAAAGUCGACACUGUGGGUGGAUGUUGAAUACCAGUGUUCGAACAAGUCGACCGGCAUCCCAUGUCAAACGAGCCGUAUCUCUCCAGUGGGUUGAGAGUGUGAUCUCCCCGACAGAUCCGAGAUCGGUGUCUCCUCAGCGAGCCUGAAGGUUGUCACGUCCCCCAGUGGGAGUGUCAGGGGCAGAAUGUUUCUCAGGGUGGAGGACGUUUCCCCAGCCCAAACCAGUUUGAGAGCUGUCAGAGCUAUGUUCCCCUGCAGAGAUGUCUGUGGAUAGUACCUUCUUUCCCCAGCAGAUCUAAGGAUUUCCUAUCCCCAGCAGGCUUGUGUUGCAGAUUCCCCCAGUGGGUGUAUUCCCCAGCGAAUAUUUCCCCAGUUGAGGUUCCCCGCUGAGUGCCUGGCAGAUGUUAUCCCCAACGUGGACGUGAGCGCUCAUCCUCGACAGAGUUGUGGAUGUUUCUCCCCCAGCACAGGGUCUGGUAUGGUGGUUUCCCACACCAGAGUUUUGCUCUUCCUCAGCAGAGAGGUGUGUUAUCCCCAGCAGGGUGGAUUUCCCUAGCAGAUCUCCUGAGUAGAGAUUGGUGUUGUUUUUUCCUCAGCAAAUUCCCCGAGUGGAGCGGGUUUAAAGAAAUAUUUCUCCAACAGAGUUCAUCCUACUUGUGGGUUGGACAAGUUUUCGUAGCAGAUUGAUAUUUGCAUCCCUAGCUGAGUUUAUCCUACAUGUGGAUUGGAUGGGUCGUCCCCAGCGGAGUAGCAGUUAUUCCUCAUAAGCAAGGUUUAUCCUGUCUAAGGGUUGGUUGAGUCUUCCCCAGCGAGGUCGCUUUAUCAUUCCCCAACAAGAGUCUCCUCGCAGAGCAUUUCUUCAGGCAGAGUCUCCCCACAGAGUUGGAGUAUCUGAUCGCUCGGCUCCCCAGCCAGUUUUGCAUUGUUGCAUGUAGUAAUCAUUGCAUCCUCAAAAUGCGUAGCAUUUCCAUUUUAUAUGGAGCAUUACGCCACAGGAAAAUUCAAACAUAUGCAUUCAUGUGUUCGAA
This 1607-nucleotide long non-coding RNA is filed under the name Lathyrus oleraceus (garden pea). RNAcentral describes it as "Pisum sativum (pea) long non-coding RNA (PSAT_LNC041259)". Lineage: Eukaryota; Viridiplantae; Streptophyta; Magnoliopsida; Fabales; Fabaceae. The record is from RNAcentral.